CUUUUCCCAAAGUUUCUUAACAUCUUCAUCUGAAGAUCUUAAGUGGGUACUGAAAUGUUGCAUGUUAUAUUCAGAAGACCCCACUAAAAUGGUAAUUAUAACAGUGCAAUAAAUCUUCCUAUAACUAAUGAAGUCUAAUUAACCUGUAUUACUGAAUACAUGUUGCACUAGAUUUCAGUUGAGGUGGCCAUCAGGCUAAUUUGUAACUUUUCUUGACAGACAACUUUCACACAUCUUAUAA
Molecule: non-coding RNA, 241 nt
Organism: Pelobates cultripes (western spadefoot toad)
Lineage: Eukaryota; Metazoa; Chordata; Amphibia; Anura; Pelobatidae
Source: the annotation of a GenBank genome assembly